CUACGGGUGGCUGCAGUAAGGAAUAUUGCGCAUUGGAGGCAACUCUGACGCAGCCAUGCCGCGUGCAGGAAGAAGGCCUUAUGGGUCGUAAACUGCUUUUAUUUAGGAAUAAACCCCCGAACGUGUUCGGGGCUGAAGGUACUAAACGAAUAAGCACCGGCUAACUCCGUGCCAGCAGCCGCGGUAAUACGGAGGGUGCAAGCGUUAUCCGGAUUUAUUGGGUUUAAAGGGUGCGCAGGCGGGCUAUUAAGUCAGUGGUGAAAUCCCGGGGCUCAACUCCGGAACUGCCAUUGAUACUGAUGGUCUUGAGUUUGGUUGAAGUGGGCGGAAUGUAGCAUGUAGCGGUGAAAUGCAUAGAUAUGCUACAGAACACCAAUCGCGAAGGCAGCUCACUAAGCCAAGACUGACGCUCAUGCACGAAAGCGUGGGGAUCAAACAGGAUUAGAUACCCCUGUAGUC
This 459-nucleotide ribosomal RNA is filed under the name uncultured bacterium. Its description in RNAcentral is "partial 16S ribosomal RNA". It matches the Rfam family "Bacterial small subunit ribosomal RNA", at positions 339 to 795 of the family's 1533-position model. The record is from RNAcentral.